This 1480-nucleotide ribosomal RNA is filed under the name Limosilactobacillus fermentum. Its description in RNAcentral is "bacterial SSU rRNA". It matches the Rfam family "Bacterial small subunit ribosomal RNA". Lineage: Bacteria; Bacillati; Bacillota; Bacilli; Lactobacillales; Lactobacillaceae. The record is from RNAcentral.
UCCCAGGGGGGUGCCUAUACAUGCAAGUCGAACGCGUUGGCCCAAUUGAUUGAUGGUGCUUGCACCUGAUUGAUUUUGGUCGCCAACGAGUGGCGGACGGGUGAGUAACACGUAGGUAACCUGCCCAGAAGCGGGGGACAACAUUUGGAAACAGAUGCUAAUACCGCAUAACAGCGUUGUUCGCAUGAACAACGCUUAAAAGAUGGCUUCUCGCUAUCACUUCUGGAUGGACCUGCGGUGCAUUAGCUUGUUGGUGGGGUAACGGCCUACCAAGGCGAUGAUGCAUAGCCGAGUUGAGAGACUGAUCGGCCACAAUGGGACUGAGACACGGCCCAUACUCCUACGGGAGGCAGCAGUAGGGAAUCUUCCACAAUGGGCGCAAGCCUGAUGGAGCAACACCGCGUGAGUGAAGAAGGGUUUCGGCUCGUAAAGCUCUGUUGUUAAAGAAGAACACGUAUGAGAGUAACUGUUCAUACGUUGACGGUAUUUAACCAGAAAGUCACGGCUAACUACGUGCCAGCAGCCGCGGUAAUACGUAGGUGGCAAGCGUUAUCCGGAUUUAUUGGGCGUAAAGAGAGUGCAGGCGGUUUUCUAAGUCUGAUGUGAAAGCCUUCGGCUUAACCGGAGAAGUGCAUCGGAAACUGGAUAACUUGAGUGCAGAAGAGGGUAGUGGAACUCCAUGUGUAGCGGUGGAAUGCGUAGAUAUAUGGAAGAACACCAGUGGCGAAGGCGGCUACCUGGUCUGCAACUGACGCUGAGACUCGAAAGCAUGGGUAGCGAACAGGAUUAGAUACCCUGGUAGUCCAUGCCGUAAACGAUGAGUGCUAGGUGUUGGAGGGUUUCCGCCCUUCAGUGCCGGAGCUAACGCAUUAAGCACUCCGCCUGGGGAGUACGACCGCAAGGUUGAAACUCAAAGGAAUUGACGGGGGCCCGCACAAGCGGUGGAGCAUGUGGUUUAAUUCGAAGCUACGCGAAGAACCUUACCAGGUCUUGACAUCUUGCGCCAACCCUAGAGAUAGGGCGUUUCCUUCGGGAACGCAAUGACAGGUGGUGCAUGGUCGUCGUCAGCUCGUGUCGUGAGAUGUUGGGUUAAGUCCCGCAACGAGCGCAACCCUUGUUACUAGUUGCCAGCAUUAAGUUGGGCACUCUAGUGAGACUGCCGGUGACAAACCGGAGGAAGGUGGGGACGACGUCAGAUCAUCAUGCCCCUUAUGACCUGGGCUACACACGUGCUACAAUGGACGGUACAACGAGUCGCGAACUCGCGAGGGCAAGCAAAUCUCUUAAAACCGUUCUCAGUUCGGACUGCAGGCUGCAACUCGCCUGCACGAAGUCGGAAUCGCUAGUAAUCGCGGAUCAGCAUGCCGCGGUGAAUACGUUCCCGGGCCUUGUACACACCGCCCGUCACACCAUGAGAGUUUGUAACACCCAAAGUCGGUGGGGUAACCUUUAGGAGCCAGCCGCGUAAGUGAACAGAUGG